UGAUUGUAAAUCAUCACUGAAAUUACAACAGGUAAUCGUAGACGAUCCGUUGACAUGUUCAAGAAUACCAUCCUUAUCCUUGAUGAUGGUUCGUGAUGGUUGCUUGGACCAGACAUGCAGCCACUCAAUGUUUUUACAAUGUCUAAUUUCAUUUCACUUUUAAUUUUCACUUCCCUUUUCUUUCAUGCACUGCAACCAGAAGAGUCUGCCUCACACUUUGGAGACAUAGUGGAUAUUAAAGUAAAAAAAACCCUCAAAAGAACAAAAUGACGUAGGGAUUCCCUGAUUUCCAGUGAGAGGCGUAACAACAAGGCACACCUGCAGCUGCUUGGCAAUUAUUGCCGUUCUUAAGCACAGUGACUGCAGCAGGAAGAAGCCGGAUCGUACCAUCUGCUACCUUAAGUGCGAGUGGAAUCCGGUUAGGCAUCCCUUCGCCAAUCGACAUCCCUUCGAUUGGCUGACUCACGUUGACAUAAGUGAUUGUUGACAUAACCGAAACUAGCUAUUGCUUGCACAUUUACUUGUGACUACGGCCAGAGUCAUAACGAGUGUGGGUGAUAAUAAAGGAUUUUUUAACCUACGGUGGCUUGUUCACAUUUUUCCCCUCCAUUUGUACAAAAUUGAAAUGGUGCAUUUUGUCAAGUUGCGGAAAGGAGGAUGAAACAACAGCUGAAGUCUACCAAGAAAGGACCUUUGGUGUUAUGCCGAAGGUUUGGAGGUAAGUGGCAGUUCUUUUCUUGUUGCCCCUGCGUUGAUGACGUUUAACAAUACUACAACACAUGUCUACAUAAACCAGUGCUUCUAAAAUAGUCG
Long non-coding RNA from Dunckerocampus dactyliophorus (ringed pipefish), 813 nucleotides. RefSeq lists it as uncharacterized. The transcript has 3 exons. The record is from RefSeq and is a predicted model, not a curated record. NCBI's taxonomy places the organism in Eukaryota, Metazoa, Chordata, Actinopteri, Syngnathiformes, Syngnathidae.